UUAAGGGUGCUUGAUCAAUGGGCUCCGGACCUGAUCUAAUCAAAUCCGAUUUAGCAACUUGCAUCAGAUUUUUCUCCUAUCAAAUUUCGUCAAGUUCGACCUUAGAGGCAGCAGUCUCUUCACCAAGAAACUUCCUUUCCAAAAAGAUUGCCUUAAAGCUGACAAACACUUUUUGCUUAUCAGCUAGGUAGAAGUAAUACCCUUUGGUCUCUUUUGGGUACCC
Molecule: long non-coding RNA, 223 nt
Filed under: Elaeis guineensis (African oil palm)
Lineage: Eukaryota; Viridiplantae; Streptophyta; Magnoliopsida; Arecales; Arecaceae
Description: long non-coding RNA (EGUI_LNC052570)
Source: RNAcentral